RNAcentral lists this ribosomal RNA (470 nucleotides) under uncultured bacterium. RNAcentral's name for it is "SSU rRNA". It matches the Rfam family "Bacterial small subunit ribosomal RNA", at positions 26 to 518 of the family's 1533-position model. The record is from RNAcentral.
AGGACGAACGCUGGCGGCGUGCUUAACACAUGCAAGUCGAGCGGAAAGGCCCUUCGGGGUACUCGAGCGGCGAACGGGUGAGUAACACGUGAGUAAUCUGCCCCUAGCUCUGGGAUAGCUCCGGGAAACCGGGAUUAAUACCAGAUACGACCACUUUAGACAUCUGUUGUGGUGGAAAGAAUUUUGGCUAGGGAUGAGCUCGCGGCCUAUCAGCUUGUUGGUGAGGUAACGGCUCACCAAGGCGACGACGGGUAGCCGGCCUGAGAGGGCGACCGGCCACACUGGGACUGAGACACGGCCCAGACUCCUACGGGAGGCAGCAGUGGGGAAUAUUGCGCAAUGGGCGAAAGCCUGACGCAGCGACGCCGCGUGGGGGAUGAAGGCCUCGGGUUGUAACCCUUUCAGCAGGGACGAAGCGAAGUGACGGUACCUGCAGAAGAAGCGCCGGCUAACUACGUGCCAGCAGCCGC